CAGUGAAAGUGUAUUUCAUAUUUAUGUAAAUAUAGGCAAAUGUAUGGUAUUUAUUGGAUGUACGUAGCAAUGCGAGCAACGUGUUAAUAUAACGGUGCAGAAACUAUAUAAAACAACAAAAAAGUCCCCACAAUACCCUACUUGUUUUUACCUUCUUCUUCAUCUAGUGUUUACCACAAUCGGUCGCUGCGAAAAAUGCAAUAAAGAAAGAAGCAAAAAGAAGUGGAAAUCCACAAAAGGGUUUUACAAAAAAAUAUUAGUUCGUCCUUUUGUCAAACACGGCCAUAAAAGGUGUGAAAAAGUUCCAAGUAGAUAGUCUUUUCCAGCAAUAAAGCUAGAAGUGUGUGCAAACUUGAAAGCAUUAAGAUUAAAAGUUGUUUUUAAAGCAAAAAAAUAAAAUACUGGCAACCAUAAACAGAGUGUAUCCUUCUUGUAGAUUUACAAAGUAUAAAUCACGGAAAACACGCGUUACUAUUUUCUCUCUGUGCGAGUGUGAUAAACUGCUGCAUGGAUUAACAUUGAAUAUAUAAUCAUCAAUUCUUGUGAAUAUGACAACUUUCAUUGAAAAUGCAUCGGUCGCGAAACGCCUGAAUGCCAGUCAAGCAUCGAUGAUACUUGUAACACCGCCUCCUAUUGGAUAAUGUACUUGAAUUCUCAGAACAUGCGUCCUAAGCAGCAAGGAGCACGGGAAAGCAAUCGACGUAACAAAAAUGAUCAAGCACAAACCUUAGACGGUAGCAUCUUG
This is a long non-coding RNA of Bactrocera tryoni, 745 nucleotides long. RefSeq lists it as uncharacterized. Lineage: Eukaryota; Metazoa; Arthropoda; Insecta; Diptera; Tephritidae. The record is from RefSeq and is a predicted model, not a curated record. The transcript has 3 exons.